GAAUGUACCAGCUGACACCAAUACAUAUUCAGGUUUCAUGCUUUGGAAUCUUUCAUCUAUAGGUAUAAUAUAAGCCCUUUAUAAGCUUAUCACAUGCUGGCUGCUGCAGCUUCACCAAAGGCACGGGAACUCUUCAAACAAAUUAAGAUUUAAUUUCAACUUUGAAGAGGCCAAAUUGACGCAGUAUUUUUUUAUUUUUUACUAUAAGUGUAGGUGUGGUGGGGUGGCGAUAGUUAAGUGGGAAUUUAUAAAAUGAAUGUUACCUCUCGCUUUGUUUGGCAACAAUGGUCGUUAACACGAGUGUUCUGUUUCAUGCAUCUCGUGGCCGCUUAUUAUAUAUGAGUUACCACGUAUGUAUACUAUUGUUGUUGUUUUUUUGUAAGAAAAUACAUGUCCACAAUGGUGGCGGCAUCGAGCACCGAACCCGUAUCUUCUGCUAAGCGAUCGUAUCCCUGUACUCGGCACCGAGUUCGUUCUAUCCCUAUUCCAACUUCGGGCCAAUAAGACUCUUUUAAAUUGUAUUACACCGCUAUAUCUAACAUGGAUUUUCUUCGAAUCCUAAAGCAUUGCUCGUAAUAGGUGCUUAGCUUUUUUAUAUCUCGUUCGGUUAAUUGGCCAUAACAUUAAACUUAAAUACACG
Non-coding RNA from Ciona intestinalis (vase tunicate), 640 nucleotides. Lineage: Eukaryota; Metazoa; Chordata; Ascidiacea; Phlebobranchia; Cionidae. The record is from RefSeq and is a predicted model, not a curated record.